This 433-nucleotide ribosomal RNA is filed under the name uncultured bacterium. RNAcentral's name for it is "partial 16S ribosomal RNA". It matches the Rfam family "Bacterial small subunit ribosomal RNA", at positions 29 to 507 of the family's 1533-position model. The record is from RNAcentral.
AACGAACGCUGGCGGCAUGCCUAACACAUGCAAGUCGAACGAGACCUUCGGGUCUAGUGGCGCACGGGUGCGUAACGCGUGGGAACCUGCCCUUAGGUUCGGAAUAACUCCCCGAAAGGGGUGCUAAUACCGGAUAAUGUCUUCGGACCAAAGAUUUAUCGCCUUUGGAUGGGCCCGCGUUGGAUUAGCUAGUUGGUAGGGUAAAAGCCUACCAAGGCGACGAUCCAUAGCUGGUCUGAGAGGAUGAUCAGCCACACUGGGACUGAGACACGGCCCAGACUCCUACGGGAGGCAGCAGUGGGGAAUAUUGGACAAUGGGCGAAAGCCUGACACAGCAAUGCCGCGUGAGUGAUGAAGGCCUUAGGGUUGUAAAGCUCUUUUACCCGGGAUGAUAAUGACAGUACCGGGAGAAUAAGCACCGGCUAACUCCGUG